ACGGGUGAGUAAUGCUUGGGAAUCUGGCUUAUGGAGGGGGAUAACGACGGGAAACUGUCGCUAAUACCGCGUAGAGUCGAGAGACGAAAGUGCGGGACCGCAAGGCCGCAUGCCAUAGGAUGAGCCCAAGUGGGAUUAGGUAGUUGGUGAGGUAAUGGCCUACCAAGCCGACGAUCUCUAGCUGGUCUGAGAGGAUGACCAGCCACACCGGGACUGAGACACGGCCCGGACUCCUACGGGAGGCAGCAGUGGGGAAUAUUGCGCAAUGGGGGCAACCCUGACGCAGCCAUGCCGCGUGAAUGAAGAAGGCCUUCGGGUUGUAAAGUUCUUUCGGUAUUGAGGAAGGUUGGUGUGUUAAUAGCACAUCAAAUUGACGUUAAAUACAGAAGAAGCACCGGCUAACUCCGUGCCAGCAGCCGCGGUAAUACGGAGGGUGCGAGCGUUAAUCGGAAUAACUGGGCGUAAAGGGCACGCAGGCGGGCUCUUAAGUGAGGUGUGAAAUCCCCGGGCUUAACCUGGGAAUUGCAUUUCAGACUGGGAGUCUAGAGUACUUUAGGGAGGGGUAGAAUUCCACGUGUAGCGGUGAAAUGCGUAGAGAUGUGGAGGAAUACCGAAGGCGAAGGCAGCCCCUUGGGAAUGUACUGACGCUCAUGUGCGAAAGCGUGGGGAGCAAACAGGAUUAGAUACCCU
This 690-nucleotide ribosomal RNA is filed under the name uncultured bacterium. RNAcentral's name for it is "bacterial SSU rRNA". It matches the Rfam family "Bacterial small subunit ribosomal RNA", at positions 102 to 788 of the family's 1533-position model. The record is from RNAcentral.